CCGCUGGCGACCGGCGCACGGGUGAGUAACACGUAUGCAACCUGGCCGUGACAGAUGGAUAACCGGGAGAAAUCCCGCCUAAUACAACAUAAUGCCGGGAGGGGACAUCCCCUGCCGGCCAAAGGGGGCGACCCCGGUCACGGAUGGGCAUGCGGCGCAUUAGGUAGUUGGUGGGGCAACGGCCCACCAAGCCGACGAUGCGUAGGGGUUCUGAGAGGAAGGUCCCCCACAUUGGAACUGAGACACGGUCCAAACUCCUACGGGAGGCAGCAG
This 273-nucleotide ribosomal RNA is filed under the name uncultured bacterium. Its description in RNAcentral is "partial 16S ribosomal RNA". It matches the Rfam family "Bacterial small subunit ribosomal RNA", at positions 85 to 354 of the family's 1533-position model. The record is from RNAcentral.